AAGUCGUAACAAGGUCUCCGUUGGUGAACCAGCGGAGGGAUCAUUACAGAGUUACUUAAAAACUCCCAACCCUUUGUGAACUUACCACUGUUGCCUCGGCGUUGGCUGCGGCUACCCUAUAGUUACCCUGUAGGCAACUACCCUGUAGUUGCUUACCCUGUACCUAUCUCGUAGUUCGCUUAGGCCCGUCGGAGGACCACUGAACUCUUGUUUUUACUGUGAAUAUCUGAAUGCUUCAACUGAAAUAAGUUAAAA
Molecule: unclassified non-coding RNA, 255 nt
Filed under: plant metagenome
Description: partial contains small subunit ribosomal RNA and internal transcribed spacer 1
Rfam family: Eukaryotic small subunit ribosomal RNA (bases 1-46)
Source: RNAcentral